Molecule: ribosomal RNA, 243 nt
Filed under: uncultured Actinomycetales bacterium
Lineage: Bacteria; Bacillati; Actinomycetota; Actinomycetes; Actinomycetales
Description: partial 16S ribosomal RNA
Rfam family: Bacterial small subunit ribosomal RNA
Source: RNAcentral
UACUCGAGUGGCGAACGGGUGAGUAACACGUGGGUGAUCUGCCCUGCACUUCGGGACAAGCCUGGGAAACUGGGUCUAAUACCGGAUAGGAGCCAUUUUUAGUGUGAUGGUUGGAAAGUUUUUUCGGUGUAGGAUGAGCUCGCGGCCAAUCAGCUUGUUGGUGGGGUAAUGGCCUACCAAGGCGGCGACGGGUAGCCGGCCUGAGAGGGUGGACGGCCACAUUGGGACUGAGAUACGGCCCAG